This 64-nucleotide transfer RNA is filed under the name Marmota monax (woodchuck). RNAcentral describes it as "tRNA.Ala". It matches the Rfam family "tRNA", at positions 6 to 65 of the family's 71-position model. From Rfam's summary of the family: Transfer RNA (tRNA) molecules are approximately 80 nucleotides in length. Their secondary structure includes four short double-helical elements and three loops (D, anti-codon, and T loops). Lineage: Eukaryota; Metazoa; Chordata; Mammalia; Rodentia; Sciuridae. The record is from RNAcentral.
UGUAGCUCAGUGGUAGAGCACUUGACCAGCAUGCACGAGGCUCUGGGUUCAAGCCCCAGUACAG